Molecule: ribosomal RNA, 484 nt
Filed under: uncultured bacterium
Lineage: Bacteria
Description: partial 16S ribosomal RNA
Rfam family: Bacterial small subunit ribosomal RNA
Source: RNAcentral
AGUGAACGCUGGCGGCGUGCUUAACACAUGCAAGUCGAACGAGAACGGGUUAUAGCUUGCUAUAAUUGUCAGCUAAGCGGCGCACGGGUGAGUAAUGUAUAGGUAAUAUGCCUCUUACUAAGGGAUAACAAAUGGAAACGUUUGCUAAUACCUUAUACUCCUUAUUAACAUAAGUUAAUAAGGGAAAGAUUUAUUGGUAAGAGAUUAGCCUGUAUUGUAUCAGUUAGUUGGUGGGGUAAUGGCUUACCAAGACUAUGACACAUAACUGGUUUGAGAGAAUGAUCAGUCACACUGGAACUGAGACACGGUCCAGACUCCUACGGGAGGCAGCAGUGGGGAAUAUUGCACAAUGGACGAAAGUCUGAUGCAGCAACGCCGCGUGGAGGAUGACACAUUUCGGUGCGUAAACUCCUUUUAUAUGAGAAGAUAAUGACGGUAUUAUAUGAAUAAGCACCGGCUAACUCCGUGCCAGCAGCCGCCGUAA